This is a long non-coding RNA of Bacillus rossius redtenbacheri, 2535 nucleotides long. RefSeq lists it as uncharacterized. The record is from RefSeq and is a predicted model, not a curated record. The transcript has 2 exons. NCBI's taxonomy places the organism in Eukaryota, Metazoa, Arthropoda, Insecta, Phasmatodea, Bacillidae.
UCAAUGUAUCUAUGAAUAUUUUCCAUGUUUUUUGUUAAAAAAAGGUGACAUAACCUCAAAGUGAAUUAUAGUGAGUUUUGGAAUAUGUGUUAAACUUUGUGCAUAAGGUUUUUUUCAGCAGAGACAGACUUAUAUAGAUAUUUACCUUAUUGUUACUUGAAGACUUGCAUGGGGUGAAUAGCUACAGAGGUAAAUAUUUACAAUCGCGGUAGAUGCCAAAAAAAAUGCUAAAAAUCUGAAAAUACUUUUAUUCUGUGCCCUUUCACUUCCUCUUUUCAAAACAACCGGCGGAGGUAAGAAAUUCCAAAUACUUUAGGAGAUAUCGAAUUUUUUAAUUUCAUCAUAUGUAGAGUCGCUGUAUAUGCCAAAAAAAAUGCUAAACAUCUGAAAAUACCUUUAUUAUAUGCUCUUCAACUUCCUCUUUUCAUUAAAAGCGGCGGAGAUUAGAAAUUCCAAAUACUUUAGGAGAUAUCGAAUUUUUAAAUUUCAGCACAAAACCAGCGCAUUCCUGUGGCGUGCGUGCACCAUUGUUUCUUGUUUACGUACGAGUAUCUAUUUUUUUAUUGGAUAAUGAUGUCACGUGAUUGUUCGUGAUAGGCCAGAAUUCAAAUGAACUAAUACGUGAUUAUUUAGUUCAAUUAUUGUUUAAAACGGUGUUUAAUUACCGCCUCCAACUUACGUGAGUUUUUAACGUUUCUAAUUUUAAAGUCUUAUUUGUUAUUUUGAUAUUGUUGCGCAAGUAAUAAGUAACAAAAAAAUUUACGUGAGUUGUUACUGUACAUCCUUUGUUACGGGUUUGUUAUGUAAGGUCAGUUACAUUAUAAAUAAUUUAAAACUAAAGAAUAAUUAAAAUUAAUUCACAUUAUUUUUAAUAUCACCUUAGUUUUAAAGUAUUUAUAAUAUAACUGACCUGACCUAAUCGACCAUUUUAGUUUACUGUUCACCCUCUGUCCGGGUUUGUUUGGUCAGGUCAGUUACAUUAUAAAUAUUUUAAAACUAAACAUCCAUUAAAAUUAAUUCACAAAAUAAUUUUUAAUGUCGGCUAAGUUUGAAAGUAUUAAUAAUGUAACUGACCUGACCUAAUCAACCAUUUUAUUAAUUACGCAUUCACGAUUCACGUAUUCACGAACACAUGGCAAAAUAACAAAAAUGGCGCCGCUCGAAUGGUUCCACAGGUCUUGUAUUGCAAAAUUAAAAAAUUCGAUAUCUCCUAAAGUAUUUGGAAUUUCUUAUCUCCGCCGCUUUUAAUGAAAAGAGGAAGUUGAAGAGCAUAUGAUAAAGGUAUUUUAGGAUUUUUUACAUUUUUUUGGCAUCUACCGCGACUCUACAUAUCAUGAAAUUAAAAAAUUCGAUAUCUCCUAAAGUAUUUGGAAUUUCUUAUCUCCGCCGGUUGAUUUGAAAAGAGGAAGUGAAAGAGCAUAGAAUAAAAGUAUUUUCGGAUUUUUAGCAUUUUUUUUGGUAUCUACAGCGAUUGUAAAUAUUUACCGCUACAGACAAUGCCUAGAAAAUAUAAACCAAAUCACGCGGAAAGCAGUACAGGCCACUGAACAAAGAUGUUCUUCAGCAAGCAAUUGAUGCAGUUCAGAAGGGGCUUAGUUUAAGGGAGGCAGGAAGACAAUUUGACAUUCAUUUCACCAUAUUCGGCAGGUUAUAAGGAAAAAAAAAAAAAUCAAAGAAGGUGGACAAACAGUUCUCUCAUAAGAAGAUGAAGAUAUAAUAGUGGACAGGAUUUUUAUAUGUGCAAAAUGGGGAUACCCUAUUGAUCUUUUUGACCUAAGAGUUAUUGUCAAAGGCUAUUUGGACAGACUGGGACGAACAGUACCAAAAUUUAAGAACAGUAUGACUGGCCCAGAUUUUGCUGUAGGUUUUUGUCAAAAGGCAUAAAGAUAUCUUCACACCUAGAACAUGCCAAAACAUUAAGCGGUCACGAGCAGCCACAUCUCUUGAAGUUAUAAAUACAUAUUUCAAUCACCUGGAAAAAUCCCUGGAGAAUGUGUCACCAGCAAACAUAGUAAAUUUCGAUGAAACAAAUUUGAGUGAUGACCCAGGAAAGAAAACUAUCAUCACUAAGCGAAGCUGCAAAUAUCCCGAACGAGUGAUGAACUCAACAAAAUCAUCCACAUCUAUAAUGUUUGCAGCCUCGGGAGAUGGGGUACUUCUCCCAUGUUAUGUGGUAUAUAGAGCAUUGAAUUUAUACUCAUUGUGGGCAGGAGGAGGACCAAAAGGAAUCAGGUAUAACUGAACGGCAUCAGGUUGGUUUGAUGGCACAACUUUUGAUGAUUGGGUGGCUACAAUUGCGGUCCCUUAUUUGAAGAAAUUAAAUGGAAAGAAAAUCCUUAUAGGGGACAAUUUGUCAUGUCAUCUAUCUGUCGAUUAAUUCAAACUGUGUAGAGACAAUACCUAAUAUUGAUUUUGUUUUACUUCUUCCGAACUCCACACAUUUAACACUGCCCCUUGAUGUUGCGUUCUUGACACACACACAAAAUGUGCAGAAUUACCAAACUUUAAACAUUGAAAUAAAUUUUUUUUAUAGUU